CACUAUGCCUAGCCUUAAACAUUGAUAGCCUAUUACUUAAGCCAUCCGCCAGGGAACUACGAGCAUUAGCUUAAAACCCAAAGGACUUGGCGGUGCUUUAGAUCCACCUAGAGGAGCCUGUUCUAGAACCGAUAACCCCCGUUCAACCUCACCUUUCCUUGUUUUUUCCGCCUAUAUACCACCGUCGUCAGCUUAUCCUGUGAAGGUUUCUUAAUAAGCAAAAUUGGCAAAGCCCAAAACGUCAGGUCGAGGUGUAGUGUAUGGAAAGGGAAGAAAUGGGCUACAUUUCCUACCCCAGGAAAUUACGAAUGAUAUAUUGAAAUAUAUACCUGAAGGAGGAUUUAGUAGUAAGAGAAAAAUAGAGAGCUUCUCUGAAACUGGCCCUGAAGCGCGCACACACCGCCCGUCACUCUCCCCAAGCUACCUCAAAUAAAUAACUAAUACACCAAUCCCGCUGAGGGGAGGCAAGUCGUAA
This 475-nucleotide ribosomal RNA is filed under the name Melichthys vidua (pinktail triggerfish). RNAcentral's name for it is "partial small subunit ribosomal RNA". It matches the Rfam family "Bacterial small subunit ribosomal RNA", at positions 788 to 1491 of the family's 1533-position model. The record is from RNAcentral. Lineage: Eukaryota; Metazoa; Chordata; Actinopteri; Tetraodontiformes; Balistidae.